Molecule: ribosomal RNA, 253 nt
Filed under: uncultured bacterium
Lineage: Bacteria
Description: partial 16S ribosomal RNA
Rfam family: Bacterial small subunit ribosomal RNA
Source: RNAcentral
UACGAAGGGGGCUAGCGUUGCUCGGAAUCACUGGGCGUAAAGCGCACGUAGGCGGAUUGUUAAGUCAGGGGUGAAAUCCUGGAGCUCAACUCCAGAACUGCCUUUGAUACUGGCGAUCUCGAGUCCGGGAGAGGUGAGUGGAACUGCGAGUGUAGAGGUGAAAUUCGUAGAUAUUCGCAAGAACACCAGUGGCGAAGGCGGCUCACUGGCCCGGUACUGACGCUGAGGCACGAAGGCCAGGGGAGCAAACGGG